Molecule: non-coding RNA, 23 nt
Filed under: Arabidopsis thaliana (thale cress)
Lineage: Eukaryota; Viridiplantae; Streptophyta; Magnoliopsida; Brassicales; Brassicaceae
Source: RNAcentral
UAUAUACGCCCGCAGUGUACCGC